Long non-coding RNA from Aethalodelphis obliquidens (Pacific white-sided dolphin), 879 nucleotides. RefSeq lists it as uncharacterized. NCBI's taxonomy places the organism in Eukaryota, Metazoa, Chordata, Mammalia, Artiodactyla, Delphinidae. The transcript has 4 exons. The record is from RefSeq and is a predicted model, not a curated record.
CCCAAGACCCUGGGCCUGGCUCGGGCACAGCCUCCGACGUGUUCUGCAUACAGGGGCUCACAGGGCACCCACCCACGGACUCACACGCUCCGUCACACACAAAUCACCGAGGCACUGACCACAACAACACGUGCAAAGUGAGGGCCAGCUGUGGGCCCGCCGCAAGACCAGGUGCUGUGAGGUGGAAGGAAAGGCAACCUAAGAUGAGACGUCUGCCUUCAAGGAAGGGCUAACACACGAGAAAGGCGGAAGAAAACAAUCACCCUUAAUGGAGCGGCACUUACUAGCCGAGUAGUAAGAGUUCUGAGAACAAAGCGAUGCCAAGAACCGUACUGGGGGAAUAGAGACAAGUAACCAGACAACUGCAAAACCAUUCUAAGUACAAUGAUGGGGAUGUGGGGGCACCUACUCCAGUUACUGAACCAAACACCAACCCACCUCACUUUAGCCUGGAGGCUUCUUCCAGGUGUUUACUUAUUCUCUUUCAUGGUAACCACUGAGGAGCCCAGAGGAACAAUACAGAUGCAGAGGACCCCAAAGCCCUAGGGAAUGAAAGAGCCAUAAGAUGGAAUGAGCCUGGGCCUCUGAAUCACUCAUUGGAGGGCUGACCACCAAUCAGGAGCACCUAUGUUGGACUGAGUAAAAAAUAAACCUCUACUGUGUUAAGUUAUAAUUUGGAGUUUUAAUUGUUUCUUCAGUAAGUGUUACUCUAACUAAUACACACAUAUAGAAAAAUUACUGAAAGGUAAACUACCAAAUUUAAUCUGAUGCACUGUACGACAGAGUAUAAGGUAAAUUAUUUUCAAAAGUGUAUUCUUUCCACCACAAACAUGUCUUAUUUUAUAACCAAUAAAAAUAUUAAAAAAUAGGGGGCUUCCC